Molecule: ribosomal RNA, 492 nt
Filed under: uncultured bacterium
Lineage: Bacteria
Description: partial 16S ribosomal RNA
Rfam family: Bacterial small subunit ribosomal RNA
Source: RNAcentral
AGUGAACGCUGGCGGUAGGCCUAACACAUGCAAGUCGAACGGCAGCACAGUAAGAGCUUGCUCUUGUGGGUGGCGAGUGGCGGACGGGUGAGGAAUACAUCGGAAUCUACUUUUUCGUGGGGGAUAACGUAGGGAAACUUACGCUAAUACCGCAUACGAUCUACGGGUGAAAUCAUGGGUUCUUCGGACCUUGCGCGAUUGAAUGAGACGAUGUCGGAUUAGCUAGUUGGCGGGGUAAAGGCCCACCAAGGCGACGAUCCGUAGCUGGUCUGAGAGGAUGAUCGGCCACACUGGAACUGAGACACGGUCCAGACUCCUACGGGAGGCAGCAGUAGGGAAUAUUGGACAAUGGGCGCAAGCCUGAUGCAGCCAUGCCGCGUGGUUGAAGAAGGCCUUCUGCUUGUAAAGCCCUUUUGUUGGGAAAGAAAAGCAGCAGCUUAAUACGCCGCUGUUCUGACGGUACCCAAAGAAUAAGCACCGGCUAACUUCGUG